This 176-nucleotide non-coding RNA is filed under the name Atta colombica. Its description in RNAcentral is "Bacterial small subunit ribosomal RNA". It matches the Rfam family "Bacterial small subunit ribosomal RNA", at positions 1196 to 1367 of the family's 1533-position model. RNAcentral also lists the same sequence under 1 other name. The record is from Rfam by way of RNAcentral. Lineage: Eukaryota; Metazoa; Arthropoda; Insecta; Hymenoptera; Formicidae.
GCUGUGUGAUAUUGUGGGCUAUAGACGUGCCACAUGUUCCUAGACAAAGAGAUGCAAAAAUGUGAAUUUAAGCUAAUCUCUAAAAAUAGGAUAUAAAUUUUAAGGAUUGUAGUCUGAAACUCGACUACAUGAAUAAGUAAUUACUAGUAAUCGUGAAUCACCAUGCCACGGUGAAU